RNAcentral lists this ribosomal RNA (454 nucleotides) under Cicindela repanda (bronze tiger beetle). Its description in RNAcentral is "SSU rRNA". The stretch from base 159 to 454 matches the Rfam family "Eukaryotic small subunit ribosomal RNA", at positions 634 to 927 of the family's 1831-position model. The record is from RNAcentral. Lineage: Eukaryota; Metazoa; Arthropoda; Insecta; Coleoptera; Carabidae.
UCAUCGCUGUUUGCGGUGUUUAACUGGCACGUUGUGAGACGUCUUGCCGGAAGGGCAUGGUAUAUGUUUUAUAUGUUGUUCGAACAUAAUGUACAUUAAUCAUAAUAAUUUAUAUUUAAAUAUAGAGUGUAAAAACUUUAUAUUUUAUAUUAUUGUUAUUGAUUUUAUGUUACAUUAUGUUUUAUGGACCAUAUAAUAACGUAUACGUAGUCCGACUUUUUUUAAAAAUCCUGUCUAGGUGCUCUUAAUUGAGUGUCGUGGCGGGCCGGCACGUUUACUUUGAACAAAUUAGAGUGCUUAAAGCAGGCUUAUGUUGCCUGAAUAUAGUGUGCAUGGAAUAAUGAAACAGGACCUCGGUUCUAUUUUGUUGGUUUUCUGAUCAAACGAGGUAAUGAUUAAUAGGGACAGAUGGGGGCAUUCGUAUUGCGACGUUAGAGGUGAAAUUCUUGGAUCG